RNAcentral lists this long non-coding RNA (256 nucleotides) under Mytilus galloprovincialis (Mediterranean mussel). The record is from RNAcentral. Lineage: Eukaryota; Metazoa; Mollusca; Bivalvia; Mytilida; Mytilidae.
CCAAAAUAAAUAUUUCUCAAACUCCAAAGUAACUUUAAAUUAACGAUAAUUUAAUGCUUUUGGUGAUUCCUGUUGGCUUAAGAUGUGGAAUAAAAGUAUACUUUAAAACAUAAUUACUUGGACCAAUAAUCAAAGAUAUAAAAUAAUGGGUGAAAACUGUUAACUUUACUUCAUUAUUUAUUUUGUUUAAAAAAAACAGAAUUCAUACAGAUGCAAAAAUAACUUAUUACCUGUUCUAAUAAAAAAAAACACUGGU